Molecule: ribosomal RNA, 306 nt
Filed under: Triticum aestivum (bread wheat)
Lineage: Eukaryota; Viridiplantae; Streptophyta; Magnoliopsida; Poales; Poaceae
Description: partial small subunit ribosomal RNA
Source: RNAcentral
AUGCUUACCAGUGGAAUCAUCUGGGCUAAGAACAUGUACUCUAUUUUGAUCUCUCUACCAAAGAAGCUGCCACUGGAAGCCACUUCACUCUACACUGACGACCGUGCCAUCCUAUAUUCUACCAUUAUCUGUAUGAAUUGUUAUAUAAGAAGAGAUGCUGAAACAAAUUCAAGAGGAUCGAGAUGUGCUUAUGUUCUACCAUUUUGCUUUCAAGAGGGGAAGAUAAAGAGGAGGCAUGGUGAAGAGGAGAAGUGGAAGAAGGCCAUCAACUAUGCACCUACCGGCUCUUCCUCGCCUGGGUACUAA